This 237-nucleotide long non-coding RNA is filed under the name Vombatus ursinus (common wombat). Its description in RNAcentral is "lncRNA (ENSVURG00010004889.1)". Lineage: Eukaryota; Metazoa; Chordata; Mammalia; Diprotodontia; Vombatidae. The record is from RNAcentral.
GGUAAGAGCCAUCGUGCGGUGGCUGUAGCCUGGUUCCUUGGCGUGCCCAGCGUGCGGGUGCUCCUUAUUGUCUCUAGCUCCCUUUGCAAAGAUACAGGCCAGGGGAAUUGCAGAGUUUAUGCUAUGAAAUGAAAGAUGAAAAUCCAACUUUCCUACUUCCCAGUCAGGUAUGAUCUUUGAUCUUUGUUAUUUCAAGUUAGUUGAAAGUUGCUCUUAAAUCCUUGGGCUUACCAAAUG